CCUACGGGAGGCAGCAGUGGGGAAUAUUGGACAAUGGGCGAAAGCCUGAUCCAGCAAUGCCGCGUGAGUGAUGAAGGCCUUAGGGGUUGUAAAGCUCUUUUACCAGGGAUGAUAAUGACAGUACCUGGAGAAUAAGCUCCGGCUAACUCCGUGCCAGCAGCCGCGGUAAUACGGAGGGAGCUAGCGUUGUUCGGAAUUACUGGGCGUAAAGCGUGCGUAGGCGGUGAUUCAAGUCAGAGGUGAAAGCCUGGAGCUCAAACUCCAGAACGGCCUUUGAAACUAGAUCGCUAGAAUUAUGGAGAGGUAAGUGGAAUUCCGAGUGUAGAGGUGAAAUUCGUAGAUAUUCGGAAGAACACCAGUGGCGAAGGCGACUUACUGGACAUAUAUUGACGCUGAGGUACGAAAGCGUGGGGAGCAAACAGGAUUAGAUACCCUGGUAGUCCACGCCGUAAACGAUGAUAACUAGCUGUUCGGGCUACUCAGAGCUUGAGUGGCGCAGCUACGACAUUAAGUUAGUCCGCCGUGGGAGGUACGGUCGGCGAGUAAGUAAACGUACGUUAAAGAAAGUAGUUAGGCGUGAGACGNGCGACGGACGACGACGAGGGAGGAGG
Molecule: ribosomal RNA, 611 nt
Filed under: uncultured bacterium
Lineage: Bacteria
Description: bacterial SSU rRNA
Rfam family: Bacterial small subunit ribosomal RNA (bases 1-522)
Source: RNAcentral